AGGUAAUUAAUUCUUAGGCCAUGAUCCUGUCACCUUAGGUCGAUCGGUACCUCAAUUUGAAAACCAAAAAUACUGUAUUUAGCAGUACAACUUUGGCAAUCAACUUCAGUUCCUAAACUUGUCUAGGUCACACCCAACAAGGGUACUCCUGGGCCAUUAGCUCAGGUGGUUAGAGCGCACCCCUGAUAAGGGUGAGGUCCCUGGUUCAAGUCCAGGAUGGCCCAUUCGGUGUUGGGGGUUUAGCUCAGUUGGUAGAGCGCCUGCUUUGCAAGCAGGAUGUCAGCGGUUCGAGUCCGCUAACCUCCACUGAUUAAACUCCUUUACUUAACAAGUAGGAGCUUAUCUUUGUUCGAUGUAUCUAGACUUUAGUUUCCGCUGGACGACCCUAGCUUCCUAUCAUUCUAAACCUAAUAAUUAAUUAGGAGAGGUUGAAAGGACGCUGGGCUCACUACAGUUUUAAUUAACUGGAGAGAACUUCAGCAGAACCUUGACAACUGCAUAGGUGAGUCUGGAAAGAAUAAAGCAUCUCAUGGAUGCAUUUUUCUUUUGAGAGAGAUUUGAAAUUCAGUUAAUUCAGAUUUUAAAUCUUAAUUAUAAAGAAUAAUGUGUGAUUCUUGAGUAAGAGCCGAGACUCUAUAGCGAUAUUUUGGUGCAAUUAAAGCAUGCAAAGUUAUUGGACUAAUUUAGAGUGAAAAACCUUUGAUUUAGUUUGAUAAGUGUAUAAACACUAUUUCUAUAGAGAUUUAUUGGUCAAGCUACAA
Molecule: transfer RNA, 761 nt
Filed under: uncultured Prochlorococcus sp.
Lineage: Bacteria; Bacillati; Cyanobacteriota; Cyanophyceae; Synechococcales; Prochlorococcaceae
Description: partial 16S-23S ribosomal RNA intergenic spacer; may also contain 16S ribosomal RNA and 23S ribosomal RNA
Rfam family: tRNA (bases 234-306)
Source: RNAcentral